GAUGAACGCUGGCGGCGUGCCUAAUACAUGCAAGUCGAGCGAACAGACGAGGAGCUUGCUCCUCUGACGUUAGCGGCGGACGGGUGAGUAACACGUGGAUACCUACCUAUAAGACUGGGAUAACUUCGGGAAACCGGAGCUAAUACCGGAUAAUAUAUUGAACCGCAUGGUUCAAUAGUGAAAGACGGUUUUGCUGUCACUUAUAGAUGGAUCCGCGCCGCAUUAGCUAGUUGGUAAGGUAACGGCUUACCAAGGCGACGAUGCGUAGCCGACCUGAGAGGGUGAUCGGCCACACUGGAACUGAGACACGGUCCAGACUCCUACGGGAGGCAGCAGUAGGGAAUCUUCCGCAAUGGGCGAAAGCCUGACGGAGCAACGCCGCGUGAGUGAUGAAGGUCUUCGGAUCGUAAAACUCUGUUAUUAGGGAAGAACAAAUGUGUAAGUAACUAUGCACGUCUUGACGGUACCUAAUCAGAAAGCCACGGCUAACUACGU
Molecule: ribosomal RNA, 495 nt
Filed under: uncultured bacterium
Lineage: Bacteria
Description: partial 16S ribosomal RNA
Rfam family: Bacterial small subunit ribosomal RNA
Source: RNAcentral